UCCAUGAUUGUGAGGUAUCGUCAAGCUAUAGACGUUAAUUUUAGCACUUGAGGUAACCCAACUGUUUUCAUUGUUUUGUUUUUCUUUCUUUUGGUUUCUUUUUGUUUCUUUGUUCUCUUUGUUUUGUUUCUUUUGGGAAGUUUAAUGCAGUUGAGCUUGAAAGAUGCAGAAUUUGCGCCAUGUCCAUACCACCACCUUGGAGCAUGUUUCCUUGUAAGUAGUGACACACAUAUCAUCAUCCCUCCAAACUUAUUUUCGAACUUAUGUUUUGUAAUAAGUUUGGGGAAGGGCGGUGAGAGUAGAUAUGUGUAGCACUUUCAUCAUUUUUUUGUUUGUUAUACUGUUUUAUC
RNAcentral lists this long non-coding RNA (350 nucleotides) under Salvia miltiorrhiza (redroot sage). RNAcentral's name for it is "long non-coding RNA (SMIL_LNC011236)". Lineage: Eukaryota; Viridiplantae; Streptophyta; Magnoliopsida; Lamiales; Lamiaceae. The record is from RNAcentral.